Polistes dominula (European paper wasp) is the source of this 1258-nucleotide long non-coding RNA. The record is from RefSeq and is a predicted model, not a curated record. Lineage: Eukaryota; Metazoa; Arthropoda; Insecta; Hymenoptera; Vespidae.
UAUAUAUACCAAAAAGAUAAAAAACUAUCUAACUGUAUUACAUAUUUUUUUUAUUUAUUUAUUUAUUUCGCACAAUGGGCAGAUGUGAUAAGCGUACGAGAAUGUAAAUGUGAGAGAGAAAAGGUUAUAGGAAAAAAUAAAAAACAAACAAAAAGAAAAGAAAAAAAAGAGAAAAAAAUAAAAAUCACGCUAAAGUUUUAACCACGCGCGAUCCUUCGUCUAUCGUCACGCGCGCGUGAUCACGGUCAUGUGCGUACUGAAAAUUGUGGACGGUCGCGCUACCGCCACCCGUUCGUUCUCGUUUUUAACGUUCUAAAAACGUUGUCGUCAACUACGUUGUUGUCCUCGUCUACGUCGUCGUCGUCGUCGUCGUCGUCCCUGCCACCGCGCGGCUCAAGCGGAAAGUCGCUCGCUCGCAACCGCCCGCCGAAUCCGCGCGCGCGGAAUAAACCGUAUCACAUAGAAUGAUGAUAUUUGACAUAAGCUAUUGCAGCGAGUCCCUUACAAAAUUCUUCUGUAAUAACAACGCUUUCCAGCAACGUAUUUUCCUUUUCCCUGUAAUAUCGUCAAAAUAUUUUUUUCGCUACAUGUAAAUAAAAGCCAGAUUCGGUGGUCUUUGGUAUCUCGUUAAUUAACUGCUUGACUACUUUCUGGAGACAAGUAAAUAAACUUUUUGUGCCAGGCACUAAUGGUAAAAGAGGAUUUAAUAAGAAUUCAUGCAGGUAUGGAUGCGAACAACCAUGCAUCUUUCGUAACUAUUGAUAUCAGGAUCGGUUUGAAGAUAGCGUGGCACCAGAGAUAAGAAGCUAAAGCAAAAUAUCAUGUUCUAAUAAGGAUGUGAUGGCACUAUCUGCUGCUGUAUUAUCGUAAUACCCUCGACUUGUCAAAUACAUUAAUGCGAGACAAUGUAGGCACUGUUCACGUAGCUCAUAAGGGCUUCCAAUAGAAGGCACUUUGACUUCACUGGUAUUCGCGAAGGUAUCAAAAGACUUUGGCCGCAAUUGUUCUCAACUGGAUUAUUUGUCUUGUCACAUGUAUUGCAAUCUUCGGUUCAUAAUCGAGGACGAAUCACAGUAAACAUUUUGUGUUAGUGGGCUCGAAGAUUGGGAUAUAUUUUCCGUAUCCUUGGAAGAAGUAGAUGCAUUCGAGCGUGUGGAAGAGUUAAGUGAAUUCAAAAGAUUCGGAUUUACCAGAGCUAUUGCCUGAGUUUUUAAAGGUUCAAAAAGAGGAUUAGAAUUAUUCUUUUUUCUAUUAGGAA